GCACAUUAAAAUUGAGACUAUUAUUUAUCAAAUAAAACUUAAACAUAUAUACAAAAUAAAAGUCAUAAUGUAUAGCCAUUAAUAUAAGUUACAACUAAUUAGUUAACAUAAAGAUCAAAAUCUUCUAUGGUAGCAUGCAGUCUUCAUCUAUCUUCUUGGUCGUCUCAACAUUUUUAUCCAAAACAAGCGGGCAAAUCAUCAUUCAUUUCCAAAUUUCGUUCACUCUCCUCCACCUGAAUAAAUACCACAAAACACCAUUAAGCAAUAACACUAUAUUAUAUUAGAGAUAAUUUCAAAAUACUACUAAUCAUGAGUACAAAUUAAAGCAAGAUUAUAAAUUUAAACAACUACCACUUCUAGCAAAUAUAUUUAGAAACAUUAAACUCACUUUAUUAUAAAAAAAUCAUAUAACUUUUAGGUUGAUCAUGAACCGACACCAUUCUUCUUGGAUUUCUAUU
This 458-nucleotide long non-coding RNA is filed under the name Medicago truncatula (barrel medic). RNAcentral's name for it is "long non-coding RNA (MTRU_LNC000642)". Lineage: Eukaryota; Viridiplantae; Streptophyta; Magnoliopsida; Fabales; Fabaceae. The record is from RNAcentral.